UACGAACUGUGCGAACGUUAUUCGGAAUCACUGGGCUUACAGGGUGCGUAGGCGGCUUGUUAAGUAGGGUGUGAAAGCCCCCGGCUCAACCGGGGAAUUGCGCCCUAAACUGGCGAGCUGGAGUGAGAUAGGGGUGUGUGGAACUUCCGGUGGAGCGGUGAAAUGUGUUGAUAUCGUAAGGAAGGCCGGUGGCGAAAGCGAGCCUCUGGACAGUUACUGACGCUGAUGCACGAAGGCCAGGGGAGCAAACGGG
Molecule: ribosomal RNA, 253 nt
Filed under: uncultured bacterium
Lineage: Bacteria
Description: partial 16S ribosomal RNA
Rfam family: Bacterial small subunit ribosomal RNA
Source: RNAcentral